RNAcentral lists this ribosomal RNA (479 nucleotides) under Acinetobacter baumannii. Its description in RNAcentral is "partial 23S ribosomal RNA". It matches the Rfam family "Bacterial large subunit ribosomal RNA", at positions 1981 to 2458 of the family's 2925-position model. Lineage: Bacteria; Pseudomonadati; Pseudomonadota; Gammaproteobacteria; Moraxellales; Moraxellaceae. The record is from RNAcentral.
UUCCGACCCGCACGAAUGGCGUAAUGAUUUGGGCACUGUCUCAACAGCAAAUCCGGCGAAAUUGUAGUACCAGUGAAGAUGCUGGUUACCCGCGAUUGGACGGAAAGACCCCGUAGAGCUUUACUGUAGUUUAGCAUUGAGUUUCGGUAUUGUCUGUACAGGAUAGGUGGGAGGCUGAGAAACAGGACCGUCAGGUUCUGCGGAGCCAUCCUUGGGAUACCACCCUGACAGUACUGGGAUUCUAACUGGAGGCCAUGAAACUGGUCACAGGACAUUGCUAGAUGGGCAGUUUGACUGGGGCGGUCGCCUCCAAAAAAGUAACGGAGGCGCCCAAAGGUUCCCUCAGCGCGGUCGGAAAUCGCGCGAAGAGUGCAAAGGCAGAAGGGAGCCUGACUGCGAGACCUACAAGUCGAGCAGGGACGAAAGUCGGGCUUAGUGAUCCGGUGGUACCUCGUGGGAGGGCCAUCGCUCAACGGAUA